GCUCCAGCUAUGGCUGCUCCCGGGCUGGCCUCUGAUGUUUCCAGUGCAUCAUCUUGAUCUUCUGCAUGAGAACAGCUAAUAAGAUAAUGAAAAUGAGUGCGAUCACACCGUGGCCUGACCUGCUCCGGCCGGCGGCUGGUGAGGAGUCGGGGAUCCGCUCCGCUGGGCGAUCGUCUUGGAGGCGGCUGUCGGAGCGCAGGGGACAGAGGACCCGUUUCGCAUCUCCCCACUUCUCCCGAGGCAGCAAGUUAAACACCAGCUACAAUGAGCCAAAACUUCUGCCAGCGGUAACAGCCCCAGCA
Molecule: long non-coding RNA, 302 nt
Organism: Rhea pennata
Lineage: Eukaryota; Metazoa; Chordata; Aves; Rheiformes; Rheidae
Exons: 3
Source: RefSeq, a predicted model, not a curated record